CGGAAGGUCCUUCAGUGUUUGUUCAAACACCGGAAUAACAUCCGGGAGACCGCCUAUGCCUUUCCCAUCCAACUGUCUUCUCUGCGUCUCUUCCAAUCACUACACUAUUUUCAUCAGGCAGAUGGUCGGUAGUUUGGU
Molecule: non-coding RNA, 138 nt
Organism: Caenorhabditis elegans
Lineage: Eukaryota; Metazoa; Nematoda; Chromadorea; Rhabditida; Rhabditidae
Source: Ensembl